AAACUAGGGGAAUGGGUAGGCCUCUGU
This 27-nucleotide non-coding RNA is filed under the name Callithrix jacchus (white-tufted-ear marmoset). The record is from RNAcentral. Lineage: Eukaryota; Metazoa; Chordata; Mammalia; Primates; Cebidae. RNAcentral also lists the same sequence under 1 other name.